GACGAACGCUGGCGGCGUGCCUAAUACAUGCAAGUCGAACGCUGAAGGAGGAGCUUGCUUCUCCGGAUGAGUUGCGAACGGGUGAGUAACGCGUAGGUAACCUGCCUGGUAGCGGGGGAUAACUAUUGGAAACGAUAGCUAAUACCGCAUAAGUGUAGAUGUUGCAUGACAUUUGCUUAAAAGGUGCAAUUGCAUCACUACCAGAUGGACCUGCGUUGUAUUAGCUAGUUGGUGAGGUAACGGCUCACCAAGGCGACGAUACAUAGCCGACCUGAGAGGGUGAUCGGCCACACUGGGGCUGAGACACGGCCCAGACUCCUACGGGAGGCAGCAGUAGGGAAUCUUCGGCAAUGGACGGAAGUCUGACCGAGCAACGCCGCGUGAGUGAAGAAGGUUUUCGGAUCGUAAAGCUCUGUUGUAAGAGAAGAACGAGUGUGAGAGUGGAAAGUUCACACUGUGACGGUAUCUUACCAGAAAGGGACGGCUAACUACGUG
Molecule: ribosomal RNA, 495 nt
Filed under: uncultured bacterium
Lineage: Bacteria
Description: partial 16S ribosomal RNA
Rfam family: Bacterial small subunit ribosomal RNA
Source: RNAcentral